RNAcentral lists this ribosomal RNA (496 nucleotides) under uncultured bacterium. Its description in RNAcentral is "partial 16S ribosomal RNA". It matches the Rfam family "Bacterial small subunit ribosomal RNA", at positions 28 to 506 of the family's 1533-position model. The record is from RNAcentral.
GUUGAACGCUGGCGGCGUGCCUAAUACAUGCAAGUCGAGCGCACAGAUGAGGAGCUUGUUCUUCUGACGUUAGCGGCGGACGGGUGAGUAACACGUGGAUAACCUCCCUAUAAGACUGGGAUAACUUCGUGAAACCGGAGCUAAUACCGCAUAAUAUAUUGAACCGUAUGGCUCAAUAGUUAUAUACGGCUUUGCUGUUACUCAUAGAUUGAUCCGCGCCGCAUUAGCUAGUUGGUAUGGUAACGGCAUACCAAGGCAACGAUGCGUAGCCGACCUGAGCGGGUGAUCGGCCACGGUGGAUCUGAGACACGGUCCAGACUCCUAAGGGAGGCAGCAGUAGGGCAGCUGGCGCAAAUGGGGAAAGCUUGACGAAGCAACAGCGCGUGAGGGAUGAAGGUCUUCGGGUCGUAAAAGUCUGUUAAUGGGAAAACACAAAUGUGUAAGUAACUAUGCUCGUCUUGACGGAGCCUAAUAAGAAAGCCAGGGGUAACUACGU